RNAcentral lists this ribosomal RNA (772 nucleotides) under Aspergillus niger. Its description in RNAcentral is "SSU rRNA". It matches the Rfam family "Eukaryotic small subunit ribosomal RNA", at positions 128 to 834 of the family's 1831-position model. Lineage: Eukaryota; Fungi; Ascomycota; Eurotiomycetes; Eurotiales; Aspergillaceae. The record is from RNAcentral.
GCUUAUGCUAGUCAUAUGCUUGUCUCAGUCGUAACAAGGUUUCACUGUAGUCAUAUGCUUGUCUCAAGUCGUAACAAGGUUUCACUGUAGUCAUAUGCUUGUCUCAAGUCGUAACAAGGUUUAACUGACCUCAUAUGCUUGAGGGGUGUAUUUAUUAGAUAAAAAACCAAUGCCCUUCGGGGCUCCUUGGUGAAUCAUAAUAACUUAACGAAUCGCAUGGCCUUGCGCCGGCGAUGGUUCAUUCAAAUUUCUGCCCUAUCAACUUUCGAUGGUAGGAUAGUGGCCUACCAUGGUGGCAACGGGUAACGGGGAAUUAGGGUUCGAUUCCGGAGAGGGAGCCUGAGAAACGGCUACCACAUCCAAGGAAGGCAGCAGGCGCGCAAAUUACCCAAUCCCGACACGGGGAGGUAGUGACAAUAAAUACUGAUACGGGGCUCUUUUGGGUCUCGUAAUUGGAAUGAGUACAAUCUAAAUCCCUUAACGAGGAACAAUUGGAGGGCAAGUCUGGUGCCAGCAGCCGCGGUAAUUCCAGCUCCAAUAGCGUAUAUUAAAGUUGUUGCAGUUAAAAAGCUCGUAGUUGAACCUUGGGUCUGGCUGGCCGGUCCGCCUCACCGCGAGUACUGGUCCGGCUGGACCUUUCCUUCUGGGGAAUCUCAUGGCCUUCACUGGCUGUGGGGGGGAACCAGGACUUUUACUGUGAAAAAAUUAGAGUGUUCAAAGCACGCCUUUGCUCGAAUACAUUAGCAUGGAAAUAAUAGAAUAGGACGUGCGG